UGAACGCUAGCGGCAGGCCUAACACAUGCAAGUCGAGGGGCAGCAUAAUCGAAGUUUACUUUGAUGGUGGCGACCGGCGCACGGGUGCGUAACGCGUAUGCAACCUACCUCUUACUGGGGUAUAGCCCGGAGAAAUUCGGAUUAAUCCCCCAUAGUAUUCUAAUUAGGCAUCUAAUUAGAAUUAAAGGUUACGGUAAGAGAUGGGCAUGCGUCCCAUUAGCUAGAUGGUAAGGUAACGGCUUACCAUGGCGACGAUGGGUAGGGGGCCUGAGAGGGUGAUCCCCCCACACUGGUACUGAGACACGGACCAGACUCCUACGGGAGGCAGCAGUGAGGAAUAUUGGUCAAUGGGCGCAAGCCUGAACCGGCCAUGCCGCGUGCAGGAUGACGGUCCUAUGGAUUGUAAACUGCUUUUUGACAGGAAGAAACACUCCCUCGUGAGGAGCUUGACGGUACUGUAAGAAUAAGGAUCGGCUAACUCCGUGCCAGCAG
RNAcentral lists this ribosomal RNA (492 nucleotides) under uncultured bacterium. RNAcentral's name for it is "bacterial SSU rRNA". It matches the Rfam family "Bacterial small subunit ribosomal RNA", at positions 30 to 514 of the family's 1533-position model. The record is from RNAcentral.